CCUACGGGAGGCAGCAGUGAGGAAUAUUGGUCAAUGGGCGAGAGCCUGAACCAGCCAAGUCGCGUGAAGGAUGACGGCCCUAUGGGUUGUAAACUUCUUUUGUCAGGGAGCAAUUGAGUCCACGUGUGGGCUUAGCGAGAGUACCUGAAGAAAAAGCAUCGGCUAACUCCGUGCCAGCAGCCGCGGUAAUACGGAGGAUGCGAGCGUUAUCCGGAUUUAUUGGGUUUAACGGGUGCGUAGGCGGAAUAUCCAGUCAGCGGUAAAAAUUCGGGGCUCAACACCGUCGUGCCGUUGAAACUGAUGUU
RNAcentral lists this ribosomal RNA (305 nucleotides) under uncultured bacterium. Its description in RNAcentral is "bacterial SSU rRNA". It matches the Rfam family "Bacterial small subunit ribosomal RNA", at positions 338 to 640 of the family's 1533-position model. The record is from RNAcentral.